RNAcentral lists this ribosomal RNA (272 nucleotides) under uncultured bacterium. Its description in RNAcentral is "partial 16S ribosomal RNA". It matches the Rfam family "Bacterial small subunit ribosomal RNA", at positions 525 to 796 of the family's 1533-position model. The record is from RNAcentral.
ACGAGGGGUGCAAGCGUUGUUCGGAAUUACUGGGCGUAAAGCGUGAGGAGGCGGCUUGUUAAGUCUGAUGUGAAAGCCCUGGGCUUAACCCAGGAACUGCAUCGGAAACUAGCAGGCUAGAGUUCGGGAGAGGGUCGUGGAAUUCUUGGUGUAGAGGUGAAAUUCGUAGAUAUCAAGAGGAACACCGGUGGCGAAGGCGGCGACCUGGACCGACACUGACGCUAAUACACGAAAGCGUGGGGAGCAAACAGGAUUAGAUACCCCUGUAGUCC